This 1801-nucleotide ribosomal RNA is filed under the name Meara sp. RNAcentral's name for it is "SSU rRNA". It matches the Rfam family "Eukaryotic small subunit ribosomal RNA". The record is from RNAcentral. Lineage: Eukaryota; Metazoa; Xenacoelomorpha; Nemertodermatida; Nemertodermatidae.
CUGGUUGAUCCUGCCAGUAGUGAUAUGCUUGUCUCAAAGAUUAAGCCAUGCAUGUCUAAGUACAGGCCUCAUUARGGUGAAACCGCGAAUGGCUCAUUAAAUCACACCUAAUAUACUGGAUAGUCUCCCCACUCGGAUAACUGCGGUAAUUCUGGAGCUAAUACAUGCGUUUAAGCCGCCUGUACUCUGUAUUUGGCGGCGCUUUUAUUAGAUCAAAACCAAACGCCUUUUGGCGUCCCCCUGGUGACUCUGAAUAACUUUUUGCUGAUCGCACGACUUCUCGUCGGCGAAGUAUCUUUGUAAGGUGUGCCCUAUCAACUGUCGACUGUGGCAUAGACGCCCACAGUGGUUUUGACGGGUAACGGGGAAUCAGGGUUCUAUCCCGGAGAGGGAGCCUGAGAAACGGCUACCACUGCCAAGGCAGGCAGCAGGCACGCAAAUUACCCACUGGUCGAAGACCGAGGUAGUGACGAAAAAUAACGAUACCGGACUCAUCCGAGGCCCGGUAAUCGGAAUGAGUACACUUUAAAUCCUUUAGCGAGGAACCAUUGGAGGGCAAGUCUGGUGCCAGCAGCCGCGGUAAUUCCAGCUCCAAUAGCGUAUACUAAAUUUGUUGCGGUUAAAAAGCUCGUAGUUGGAUCUCGGCGGGUGGGGGUCGGUUGGUUGUUUGACCAGACUGGCUUUUUUUUGCCCGUGAAAAUGUCGGAGGUACGCGGGUGCUCUUAAUCGAGUGUGCGCGUGCGCCGUCAGGUUUACUUUGAAAAAAUUAGAGUGCUCAAAGCAGGCUUUACAGGCUUGAAUAUUCGUGCAUGGAAUAAUGGAAUAGGACGUCGUUUCUAUUUUGUUGGUUUUCGGAAAUCGACGUAAUGAUUAAUAGGGACAGUCGGGGGCAUUAGUAUUCAGACGACAGAGGUGAAAUUCUUGGACCGUCUGAAGACUGACUACUGCGAAAGCAUUUGCCAAGGAUGUUUUCAUUAAUCAAGAACGAAAGUUGGAGGAUCGAAGGCGAUCAGAUACCGCCGUAGUUCCAACCAUAAACGAUGCCGACCAGCGAUCUGCGGGCGUUUCAUGAUGACCCCGCAGGCAGCCCAUGGGAAACCAGAGUCUUCGGGUUCUGGGGGGAAUAUAGCUGCAAAGCUGAAACUUAAAGGAAUUGACGGAAGGGCACCACCAGGAGUGGAGCCUGCGGCUUAAUUUGACUCAACACGGGAAAACUCACCCGGCCCGGACACAGUAAGGAUUGACAGACUGAGAGCUCUUUCUCGAUUCUGUGGUAGGUGGUGCAUGGCCGUUCUUAGUUGGUGGGGUGACUUGUCUGGUUAAUUCCGAUAACGAACGAGACUCCAGCUUGCUAAAUAGGGGGUCGGCUGCGCAUGCGUGGCCAGGUCAUUUUCCUUCUUAGAAGGAGGACCAGCGUCUAGCUGGAUGAAAUGGAGCAAUAACAGGUCUGUGAUGCCCUUAGAUGUUCGGGGCCGCACGCGCGCUACAAUGGAAGGCUCAGCGGGUGUGACUUCCCUGCGCCGAGAGGCGUGGGUAACCCUUUCAGAACCUUCCGUGCUUGGGAUAGCGGUUUGCAAUUGUCCCCCUUGAACGAGGAAUUCCCAGUAAACGCAAGUCAUAAGCUUGCAUUGAUUACGUCCCUGCCCUUUGUACACACCGCCCGUCGCUACUACCGAUUGAGUGACCCGGUGAGCUCAUUGGAUCUUGGGUCGUUGGGGCAACCCGGCGAUCCGACGAGAAGCUGCGCAAGCCGUAUCACUUAGAGGAAGUAAAAGUCGUAACAAGGUUACCGUAGGUGAAC